This 505-nucleotide ribosomal RNA is filed under the name uncultured bacterium. RNAcentral's name for it is "partial 16S ribosomal RNA". It matches the Rfam family "Bacterial small subunit ribosomal RNA", at positions 28 to 507 of the family's 1533-position model. The record is from RNAcentral.
GACGAACGCUGGCGGCGUGCCUAAUACAUGCAAGUAGAACGCAAAGUUUAUACCGUAGCUUGCUACACCAUAGACUGUGAGUUGCGAACGGGUGAGUAACGCGUAGGUAACCUGCCUGGUAGCGGGGGAUAACUAUUGGAAACGAUAGCUAAUACCGCAUAAUAUUAAUUAUUGCAUGAUAAUUAAUUGAAAGGUGCAAUUGCACCACUGCCAGAUGGACCUGCGUUGUAUUAGCUAGUAGGUGAGGUAACGGCUCACCUAGGCGACGAUACAUAGCCGACCGGAGAGGGCGAUCGGCCGCACUGAGACGGAGACACGGCCCAGACGCCUUCGGGAGGCAGCAGGAGUGAAUCUUCGGCAAUGGGCGAAAGUCUGACCGAGCAACGCCGCGGGAGGGAAGAAGGUUUUCGGAUCGUAAAGCUCUGUUGUAAGAGAAGAACGAGUGUGAGAGUGGAAAGAUCACACUGUGACGGUAUCUUACCAGAAAGGGACGGCUAACUACGUG